RNAcentral lists this ribosomal RNA (774 nucleotides) under uncultured Neocallimastigales. Its description in RNAcentral is "partial large subunit ribosomal RNA". It matches the Rfam family "Eukaryotic large subunit ribosomal RNA", at positions 26 to 632 of the family's 3401-position model. The record is from RNAcentral. Lineage: Eukaryota; Fungi; Neocallimastigomycota; Neocallimastigomycetes; Neocallimastigales.
CGUCUAUAUACGUAUAGCAUAUCAAUAAGCGGAGGAAAAGAAACUAACUAGGAUUCCCUCAGUAACGGCGAGUGAAGCGGGAAGAGCUCAAAUUUGAAAUCUUCAAGGUUCUACCUUGACGAAUUGUAGUUUAAAGAAGUGUUUUCUGUUGGAGUUUUGGUAAAAGUUCUUUGGAAUAGGACAUCAUAGAGGGUGAGAAUCCCGUAUUUGACCAUUAUUUCCAACUUUGUGAUACACUUUCAAAGAGUCGGAUUGUUUGGGAAUGCAGUCCAAAAUGGGUGGUAAAUUUCAUCUAAAGCUAAAUACUGGCGAGAGACCGAUAGCGAACAAGUACCGUGAGGGAAAGAUGAAAAGAACUUUGAAAAGAGAGUUAAACAGUACGUGAAAUUGUCAAAAGGGAAGCGUUUGACACCAGUGUUGUUUUCUCGAAAAUCAAUUAAAAAUGGCGGGAUUUUGUGUUGUAUUGACUUUAUCAGCUUUCUGCACUUUUUUCCUGUCUUUUUUAAUGCACUUUUCGUUUAACAAGUCAACAUCAAUUUCUUUUGUUGUAAAAGAGUCAUUGGAAGGUGGCUUUCACUUCGGUGAAAGUGUUUAUAGCCUUUGGCUUCUGCAAUCGGAGAGAUUGAGGUCUGCAGCGUAGAUCCUUCGGGGUUAGAUACGUAGAUGCUAAGUUAUAGUUUUUCAUAGACAACUUGUUGACUAUGAUUAAUCAUGUAGCUUACUCGUUCGCGCUAUUUUACCUACGCUUAGGAUGUUGAUCUGUAGUGCGUGCGC